AGCGAACGCUGGCGGCGUGCCUAACACAUGCAAGUCGAACGUGAAAAGGGAAACCUGAGUAAAGUGGCGUACGGGUGAGUAACGCGUAGGUAAUCUACCCCAGAAUCUGGAAUAACCUGCCGAAAGGCGGGCUAAUACUGGAUAGAGCGAGGGAACUCGUAAGAGAGUUUUUCGGGAAAGGGAGCCCGCAAGGGCCUUCGUUCUGGGAUGAGCCUGCGUCUCAUUAGCUAGUUGGUAAGGUAACGGCUUACCAAGGCGAUGAUGAGUAGCUGGUCUGAGAGGAUGAUCAGCCACACUGGAACUGAAACACGGUCCAGACUCCUACGGGAGGCAGCAGUGGGGAAUCUUGCGCAAUGGACGAGAGUCUGACGCAGCCACGCCGCGUGAGUGAAGAAGGCCUUCGGGUUGUAAAGCUCUGUCGGAUGGGACGAACAUCUUCAUAGUGAAUAGCUAUGAGGACUGACGGUACCAUCAAAGGAAGCACCGGCUAACUCCGUG
Molecule: ribosomal RNA, 498 nt
Filed under: uncultured bacterium
Lineage: Bacteria
Description: partial 16S ribosomal RNA
Rfam family: Bacterial small subunit ribosomal RNA
Source: RNAcentral